AAAGAUGCAUGCCCUCCAAUUGGCAUUUAUAUAUAUGGGUAUUGCCAAUAUGUACAUGAAAGGAUUCGUCAAGUUGCCAACUUUUAUCUUUUAUUUAUAUAUGAGAUAGGUUACAUAUAAUUAUUGUACCUCUUGUGUCUACCGUUCAACUAUUCUUUCUCUUCUUUUUUUUUUUUUUAAAAAAAAACACCUCUUGCCACAGCUUUAAAAUGCAUUUUUUUUGUUGAACGACUUAAUAAAAUGCCCGAUUGGAGAAAAAAACAGAAAAAAAACAAAUGUUGACCGACUCUGGCUAGCUUCUCCUUCUAUAUAUUCUUGAACUUCAACAAAACCAUGAGAGUUUUUUUUUUUUUUUUUUUAAAAAAAAACACCUCUUGCCACAGCUUUAAAAUGCAUUUUUUUUGUUGAACGACUUAAUAAAAUGCCCGAUUGGAGAAAAAAACAGAAAAAAAACAAAUGUUGACCGACUCUGGCUAGCUUCUCCUUCUAUAUAUUCUUGAACUUCAACAAAACCAUGAG
This 519-nucleotide long non-coding RNA is filed under the name Citrus sinensis (sweet orange). RNAcentral's name for it is "long non-coding RNA (CSIN_LNC000618)". The record is from RNAcentral. Lineage: Eukaryota; Viridiplantae; Streptophyta; Magnoliopsida; Sapindales; Rutaceae.